GCUGGUUCUAAUCGAUCUGGUUCAACUCGAGUUGGAACAUAUCGUGUCGACGUGAAUAAAAAUAGUACUAACAAAACUGACAUGUACAAUGGUAACACUAUCAAUGUUGAUAUUAACAAAGUAGAUGUUGUUCGAACAUGUGGUAGAAGAGCGAAUUCUCAAAGAGUAUUAAAUAAAAGCGAAAACCAACAUGUAAAACAGUAUACAAAAAAAAAUAUAAAUAAUCAAAACUUAUCAAACAAAAUCCACAUAAACGUAAUGCAGUCGUUAAUACAUGACAAUUAUAUUAACAUAAAUGAACCAAACAGUAUCUUUUACGAAGUUAUUAAUUCGAAUAAUGUCCAACAAACUAAAAAAUAUAAAAAUGGACAGGAUGAACAAAAUGGACAAAAUGGACAGGAUGAACAAAAUGGACAAAAUGGACAAAAUGGACAGGAUGUACAAAAUGGACAGGAUGUACAAAAUGGACAAACUGGACAAAAUGGACAAAAUGGACAAGAUGUACAAAAUGGACAAAAUGGACAAGAUGUAAUAACAAACACAACAAGUGAUAUUAAUAAUUUUUGUAAUAGUACAUCUGAUAGUUUUACAAAUUUUCCAGAUAGUAAUAAAAAUUCAUUACAGCAUAUUGAUAAUAGUAAUAUAUCAUUACAUAAUGAAAUUAUUCCAAAAAAUAAGUUACACGAUUUGGAUGACACUAACAAAAAUGAGGCACAGACAGAUGAAGGAGAUAAAGAUAAGUCUAGUACAACACAACAUAAAGAUAUUACACAAAUAGAAAUCAACCAAUCGGAAAAAAAGGAAUGCUCUGAUGUUAACACAAUCGAACCAGUUUACAAUAAAAAACAUGAUGAAGAAAUGAAAGAUGGGACACGAGCAGGAACAGUAACAUGCAAAGGAGCAGAGACAAAAGCACAAACAGAAGCAGAGACAAAAGCACAAAUAGAAGCAGAGACAAAAGCACAAAUAGAAGCAGAGACAAAAGCAAAAACAAAAACAGGGUCAAAACCAACGAGAUCUACCCCGUUUGAUACCUCCUUGAACAUAAAGGAAAUAAGAACACUACAAAAGAAUUAUAAUAACCCACCGGAUGAAGAGCAAUGGAUUUGUCCAUUAUGCUCAUACCUGCGAAACCAAAUAUUAUUUAUUGAUGAUACUACCGCAUUUCAACUAAUUAGAUGUUUAAGUGUACCGAGAAAAAAAAAAGAUUUUAAUCUCAUUUUAAAGACAUGUAAAGAGUUAGAUAACACAUUAGUCAACACAAGUGAUAUAGAAACUAUAAUUAAAUCAUGUGUUAUUCCGAAAGAAAUUAAAUUAAGUAACAAUGAUUUAAUAUGUAAAAGUUAUAAAAUGAAAACAAUUUUGUUAAUGUUUGAUAUAACAAAUGAAAUAUUAUUAUAUAAGAGUGAAUAUAAUAUACACAUUUAUGAUAGUUGUGAUUAUUUUGAACAAAUCGUU
Molecule: long non-coding RNA, 1458 nt
Filed under: Piliocolobus tephrosceles (Ugandan red Colobus)
Lineage: Eukaryota; Metazoa; Chordata; Mammalia; Primates; Cercopithecidae
Description: lncRNA (ENSPTEG00000005861.1)
Source: RNAcentral